UGAAGCGUGGACGCCAGUCUGCAUGGAGCCGACCUUGAAAUACCACCCUUUAAUGUUUGAUGUUCUAACGUGGACCCGUGAUCCGGGUUGCGGACAGUGUCUGGUGGGUAGUUUGACUGGGGCGGUCUCCUCCUAAAGAGUAACGGAGGAGCACGAAGGUUGGCUAAUCCUGGUCGGACAUCAGGAGGUUAGUGCAAUGGCAUAAGCCAGCUUGACUGCGAGCGUGACGGCGCGAGCAGGUGCGAAAGCAGGUCAUAGUGAUCCGGUGGUUCUGAAUGGAAGGGCCAUCGCUCAACGGAUAAAAGGUACUCCGGGGAUAACAGGCUGAUACCGCCCAAGAGUUCAUAUCGACGGCGGUGUUUGGCACCUCGAUGUCGGCUCAUCACAUCCUGGGGCUGAAGUAGGUCCCAAGGGUAUGGCUGUUCGCCAUUUAAAGUGGUACGCGAGCUGGGUUUAGAACGUCGUGAGACAGUUCGGUCCCUAUCUGCCGUGGGCGCUGGAGAACUGAGGGGGGCUGCUCCUAGUACGAGAGGACCGGAGUGGACGCAUCACUGGUGUUCGGGUUGUCAUGCCAAUGGCACUGCCCGGUAGCUAAAUGCGGAAGAGAUAAGUGCUGAAAGCAUCUAAGCACGAAACUUGCCCCGA
RNAcentral lists this ribosomal RNA (645 nucleotides) under Salmonella enterica subsp. enterica serovar Kimberley. RNAcentral's name for it is "partial 23S ribosomal RNA". It matches the Rfam family "Bacterial large subunit ribosomal RNA", at positions 2158 to 2802 of the family's 2925-position model. The record is from RNAcentral. Lineage: Bacteria; Pseudomonadati; Pseudomonadota; Gammaproteobacteria; Enterobacterales; Enterobacteriaceae.